AUCUCUCUAUCUGGGGCACAACACGCAGGAACUUGCACAGGAGACAGAACAUCACGUGAGCGACAGAUAUCACUUCCUCCAUAUCCUCCCGUUCCCAUCACACAUCACAGCUACAUUCCUCAUCCCAAGCACGGUCUGCCAGAGAUCAGCUUGGAAAUCUGGGCACAUGGCAGCACAUUGUGAGAAUCUGUAACUGGAAAUACCUUGGCUGAGUGCAGUGAUGGCAACUUGUCCGACUCUCCGUUCCCCUUGGACAUAAGGAGGUGUGUUACUCAUACCUUCAGACCUCUCCGCGAAGAGAAUAGGAGUAUCAUCGUGAAGCUGAUUUCUGAAACUGCACGCAGACACACAGCCUAAAGGACGAUGGAAACGAAUGAACAAUGAAAUAGAUGAGCCAACAGAUUUACAUCACAGCCUUCUCUCCGGGACGGCUGCCAAGUAGCACAAAUGUCACGCACUUCAUUUAAGACACUGUAAUGGAUUAUAAUGACCAUUAAGCACCUUCAUUAAAUAUGUAA
This is a long non-coding RNA of Pseudophryne corroboree (corroboree frog), 518 nucleotides long. RefSeq lists it as uncharacterized. Lineage: Eukaryota; Metazoa; Chordata; Amphibia; Anura; Myobatrachidae. The transcript has 4 exons. The record is from RefSeq and is a predicted model, not a curated record.